This 1527-nucleotide long non-coding RNA is filed under the name Oryctolagus cuniculus (rabbit). RNAcentral describes it as "lncRNA (ENSOCUG00000030241.1)". Lineage: Eukaryota; Metazoa; Chordata; Mammalia; Lagomorpha; Leporidae. The record is from RNAcentral.
UCAUAAAAGAAAUUAUCUCCAAACAUGGAAGAUCUGGGGAUUAAGUGACUCAAAAGGUUUAGUGCGAGACUUUUUAAGGUCUCCUGAGACUUUCAAAUGUACUUGCCUUGGAGAGGAAGUGUGGGAAAGCAGCAGCUUUGGAAUUCACUGAUAAAGAAUGAGAUUAACCCCAUCUUUGCAUUAGGUGAAACCAGGUUAAAAUGAAUACUUAAAACAUUGUCUAAAUGGAUUUCUUUUUAGCCCAUGCUGAUGGAGGCCUUGAGAAAUUGCGUCAUCAUCGGGCGACCCUCCCUGCCCACCUUCUACCAAAUGUCUGGGACAUUUCCUGGAAUCUCUGCUUCUGCCUUGCUGUGAGGAAGGAAGGGAGAACUGAAAGGUAGAAUACAAGCUCUCUGCACCAGAGUUGAUUGCCCAAGUGCAAGGGGGCUGGGAAUUGCAAGGAAUAUUUGGUGAGUAAUGCUGUGCUGUCAUGAUCCCGCCUUGCAGUUGGAGCCCUGGAAAUAUCUGACUACUUGUUUCCUUGUCUUUCCAUGGAGGCAAUCACUUGCUGACCUGACAAACUCCUACUGACCUGAACCUCUGCUUCUGAGAAGCUGUCCCUGCCUGUCUCAGGCCAUCUUAUUGGUUCAUUCUUCACAGUCCUCACUGCAUCUGUGGGUAUCUCUGUCACAGCACUUUUCAGUGUGUUGUAAUGGUUUGCCUGACCAUUUUCCUCUAACCUGAAAUCUCUUCAUGGAUAGAGAAAAUGUACAUUCAUCUUUAGUCCCUCAGUUUUUUUUUUUUUUUUUUUUUUAGAUUUAUUUAUUUGAGUGGUAGAGUUACAGACAGAGAAAGGGAGAGACAGAGAGAAAUAUCUUCCAUCUGCUGGUUCACUCCCCAAAUGGCCACCAUGGCCCAAGCUGGGCUGAUCCGAAGCUAGGAGGAGCCAGGAGCUUCUUCUGAGUCUCCUACAUGGGUGCAGGGGCCCAAGGACUUGGACCAUCUUCUAAUGCUUUCCCAGGCCAUAGCAGAGAGCUGGAUCGGAAGAGGAGCAACCAGGACAUGAACCAGUGCCCAUCUGGGAUGCUGGCACUGCAGGUAGAGGCUUAGCCCACUAUGCCAGAGUGCUGGCCUGUAGUCCCUCAGUUUUAACACAAUGGUACAUACAGACUUUUUGUAUCUGAGCCUUAAUGAAUGAAAAAAACAAAUCAAUGUAGGGGUGUUGGUAUUGUGGUGCAGCAGGUGAAGCCACUGCCCACAAUGCCAGCAUCACAUAGAGGUGCCAGUUCAAGUCCUGGCUGCUCCACUUCAAUUCCUGAUCACUGCUAAUAUACCUGAGAAAGCAGUGGGAGGUGGUCCAAAUCCUUGGGCCCCUGUACUUGCAUGGGAGACCUGGAUGGAGUUCCUGCUCCUGGCACUGGCCUGGCCCAGCCCCAAUUUUUGGAGCCAUGUGAGGAGUGAACCAGCAGAUAAAUGAUCUCUCUCUCUUUCUCUCUCUAACUUUGCCUUUCAAAUACAAUAAAUAAAUCUUUGAAAGAAAUGACUACA